RNAcentral lists this small nucleolar RNA (135 nucleotides) under Pelobates cultripes (western spadefoot toad). It matches the Rfam family "U8 small nucleolar RNA". From Rfam's summary of the family: U8 is a member of the C/D class of snoRNA which contain the C (UGAUGA) and D (CUGA) box motifs. Lineage: Eukaryota; Metazoa; Chordata; Amphibia; Anura; Pelobatidae. The record is from RNAcentral.
UCUUCAGUGAGGUUAAUCCUUACCUGUUCCUCCGUAAGGAGAAACAGUACAUGAUGAAUGGAGGAGGCUGAUAUUUGAUUACAGCAGCUCCGCAUCUCCCGAGCAACAACACAACUCGGGAGUUGAUAUUCUGAU